CUAAAUGUUCUCAUAACUGGACAAAUCAUGGGUCAAGAUGCUAUUACUUCUCCACUGACAAGCUGAACUGGACUCAGAGUCGUGAUAAUUGUGUCUCCGUGGGAGGGCACCUGGUCAUCAUAAACAGCCCAGAAGAGCAGACAUUUUUAGAAUCAAUAUUCUCCAAGAAAGAACACAGUUUCUGGAUUGGACUGAGGCAGGAGAAAGAAAAGAGAAUUUGGUUAUGGAUGGACAACAAACAGCUAGACAACACAAGCUUCCUUAAAAGGAUUAACCACCACUCUGAUGUUUCCAAAGAAAAUAAAUUAUGUUGUUAUACAAAGAAGGAGGAUGGUAAUGGCACUAACCUGUUUGAAGACAAAUGUAAUCAGCCAAAAAAAAGAAUA
Long non-coding RNA from Esox lucius (northern pike), 386 nucleotides. RefSeq lists it as uncharacterized. The transcript is spliced from 3 exons. The record is from RefSeq and is a predicted model, not a curated record. Lineage: Eukaryota; Metazoa; Chordata; Actinopteri; Esociformes; Esocidae.